This 383-nucleotide ribosomal RNA is filed under the name uncultured eukaryote. RNAcentral's name for it is "partial 18S ribosomal RNA". It matches the Rfam family "Eukaryotic small subunit ribosomal RNA", at positions 592 to 976 of the family's 1831-position model. The record is from RNAcentral.
CAAUAGCGUAUAUUAAAGUUGUUGCAGUUAAAAAGCUCGUAGUUGGAUUUCUGGUAGGGGUGACCGUUCCGAACUUGAUUGUUCGUGUAUUGUGUUUUCUCCAGCCAUCCUUGUGGAGAACUUUUCUUGCAUUAAUUUGUAGGGAUUGGGACCCGCAUCGUUUACUGUGAAAAAAUUAGAGUGUUUAAAGCAGGCAAUCGCUUGAAUACAUUAGCAUGGAAUAAUAAGAUAGGACUUUGGUACUAUUUUGUUGGUUUGCAUACCAAAUUAAUGAUCAACAGGAACAGUUUGAGGAUAUUCGUAUGAACAUGUCAGAGGUGAAAUUCUUGGAUUUUGAUCAGACGAACUACUGCGAAAGCAUUUAUCAAGGAUGUUUUCAUUAA